Molecule: long non-coding RNA, 536 nt
Filed under: Nicotiana benthamiana
Lineage: Eukaryota; Viridiplantae; Streptophyta; Magnoliopsida; Solanales; Solanaceae
Description: long non-coding RNA (NBEN_LNC009984)
Source: RNAcentral
UUGAAGAAGGGUUGCGCAGCCUUGCUUCUUCUGGAAAAAAAACACACCUAUACACACAUACACGAUACAAUAGAGAAAUAUACACACAAUAGAUACAGAAGACGCCUGGAAAAUUUUGGGCCCAGCUUCUCAGUAGGAGACCCUUUUCCAUUUUCUUCUUCAACUCCUCCUCUCACUGCUCAAUGGCAAACUCACCGGAAAAUACACAGAGCUCCAUCGCCACUGCACCUACUUCGUCGAUUAAAGCCACAACAGCCAUGAAACUUGCUUGAAUCCUCUGUGAUAGUUCGUCAAAUCAUCAGAUCCAAAUCCAACCUGUUCUGAUACCACCUCUGUGUCGUCCUGUUCAAGGUGGCGAGUCGAGUUCUCAGCUGUUGCUCUAGGUUCCAUUGUGUUCUAUCCGGUUAGUUUUUUCGUUGCCGCUGAAUGUCUAAUUCAUCGCUGGAAUUUGCACAUCUAGAUUUAUUUGUACCUAUUUCCAGCCAUUUCAACAUAAAUUGAAAGUUCAUUUUCAUGUUCUUUCUUGAUUUCUUUCC